This 253-nucleotide ribosomal RNA is filed under the name uncultured bacterium. RNAcentral's name for it is "partial 16S ribosomal RNA". It matches the Rfam family "Bacterial small subunit ribosomal RNA", at positions 524 to 776 of the family's 1533-position model. The record is from RNAcentral.
UACGUAGGGGGCAAGCGUUGUCCGGAAUUACUGGGCGUAAAGCGCGUGUAGGCGGGCCGAUAAGUCGGACGUGAAAUCCCUGGGCUCAACCCAGGAACUGCAUCCGAAACUGUCAGUCUGGAGUGGUGGAGAGGGAAGCAGAAUUCCUGGUGUAGAGGUGAAAUUCGUAGAUAUCAGGAGGAACACCGGUGGCGAAGGCGGCUUCCUGGACACUAACUGACGCUGAGACGCGAAAGCGUGGGGAGCAAACAGG